UACGUAGGGUGCAAGCGUUGUCCGGAAUUAUUGGGCGUAAAGAGCUCGUAGGCGGUCUGUCGCGUCGAAUGUGAAAACCCGGGGCUCAACUCCGGGCCUGCAUUCGAUACGGGCAGACUAGAGUUCGGUAGGGGAGUCUGGAAUUCCUGGUGUAGCGGUGAAAUGCGCAGAUAUCAGGAGGAACACCGGUGGCGAAGGCGGGACUCUGGGCCGAUACUGACGCUGAGGAGCGAAAGCAUGGGGAGCGAACAGG
RNAcentral lists this ribosomal RNA (253 nucleotides) under uncultured bacterium. RNAcentral's name for it is "partial 16S ribosomal RNA". It matches the Rfam family "Bacterial small subunit ribosomal RNA", at positions 524 to 776 of the family's 1533-position model. The record is from RNAcentral.